RNAcentral lists this ribosomal RNA (953 nucleotides) under Coxiella sp. 64e4. RNAcentral describes it as "bacterial SSU rRNA". It matches the Rfam family "Bacterial small subunit ribosomal RNA", at positions 504 to 1459 of the family's 1533-position model. Lineage: Bacteria; Pseudomonadati; Pseudomonadota; Gammaproteobacteria; Legionellales; Coxiellaceae. The record is from RNAcentral.
UGUGCCAGCAGCCGCGGUAAUACAGAGAGUGCAAGCGUUAAUCGGAAUCACUGGGCGUAAAGCGCGCGUAGGUGGAUGUUUAAGUCGGAUGUGAAAGCCCUGGGCUUAACCUAGGAAUUGCACCCGAUACUGGGUAUCUUGAGUAUGGUAGAGGGAAGUGGAAUUUCCGGUGUAGCGGUGAAAUGCGUAGAUAUCGGAAAGAACACCAGUGGCGAAGGCGACUUCCUGGACUAAUACUGACACUGAGGCGCGAAAGCGUGGGGAGCAAACAGGAUUAGAGACCCUGGUAGUCCACGCCGUCAACGAUGAGAACUAGCUGUUGGGAAGUUCACUUCUUAGUAGCGAAGUUAACGCGUUAAGUUCUCCGCCUGGGGAGUACGGCCGCAAGGUUAAAACUCAAAGAAAUUGACGGGGGCCCGCACAAGCGGUGGAGCAUGUGGUUUAAUUCGAUGCAACGCGAAAAACCUUACCUACCCUUGACAUCCUCGUUUCUUGUCACGAGAUGACUUGGCCCCUUCGGGAACCGAUUGACAGGUGCGCCAUGGCUGUCGUCAGCUCGGGUCGUGAGAGGAGGGGGUAAGUCCCGUAACUAGCGCAACCCUCCUCCUUAGGUGCCAGUGAGUCACGUCGGGAACUCUAAGGAGCCCUCCGGCGAUAAACCGGAGGAAGCUGGGGAAGAUGUCAAGUCAUCAUGCCCCUUACGGGUAGGGCUACACACGUGCUACAAUGGGCCGUCAAAAGGGUGUGCAAGUUGUUAGGCGGAGCAAAUCCCCAAAAAAGCCCCGUGGUCCGGGCUGGAGUCUGCAACUCGUUUUACAGAAAGCAAGCGUUCUAGUAAUUGUGAUUCAGCAUGAUAAUACAAAUACGUUCUCGGGCUUCCACACCCCGCCAGGCACGCCAGGGGACUGAACGUACCAAAAGCGGGUGGUUAACAUUUUGGUGGCCACUAACCA